RNAcentral lists this ribosomal RNA (423 nucleotides) under uncultured bacterium. RNAcentral's name for it is "bacterial SSU rRNA". It matches the Rfam family "Bacterial small subunit ribosomal RNA", at positions 355 to 775 of the family's 1533-position model. The record is from RNAcentral.
UGAGGAAUAUUGGACAAUGGGCGCAAGCCUGAUCCAGCCAUGCCGCGUGCAGGAUGACGGUCCUAUGGAUUGUAAACUGCUUUUGUACAGGAAGAAACACUGGUUCGUGAACCAGCUUGACGGUACUGUAAGAAUAAGGAUCGGCUAACUCCGUGCCAGCAGCCGCGGUAAUACGGAGGAUCCAAGCGUUAUCCGGAAUCAUUGGGUUUAAAGGGUCCGUAGGCGGUUUAAUAAGUCAGUGGUGAAAGCCCAUCGCUCAACGGUGGAACGGCCAUUGAUACUGUUAGACUUGAAUUAUUAGGAAGUAACUAGAAUAUGUAGUGUAGCGGUGAAAUGCUUAGAGAUUACAUGGAAUACCAAUUGCGAAGGCAGGUUACUACUAAUGGAUUGACGCUGAUGGACGAAAGCGUGGGUAGCGAACAG